Molecule: long non-coding RNA, 604 nt
Filed under: Canis lupus familiaris (dog)
Lineage: Eukaryota; Metazoa; Chordata; Mammalia; Carnivora; Canidae
Description: lncRNA (ENSCAFG00000052433.1, ENSCAFG00845000298.1)
Source: RNAcentral
CUAGAUGUUGCUGACAAAGAGCUGAAGUUACUAAACCAAUGAUAUACUCCCAGGGAAAUAUAGGUGAAAAAGAUACUAUUUUUUUUUCUUCUUUUUCCCUUUCCUAGCUCUUUAUCAGCGUUCAAUUCAACCCAAGGAACCAGGAACCGAGGAGGAAGGAAGUAAUUGACAUUCAAAGCCUCUAUUUUUAGACACCUUUACACUUUCUUUUGCUUCUAACUAGCAAGGAUUUUUCCAAACAAGCUUUUAAUUAGCAGGUCAACUCCAUCUAUAUCCAAAACCUUUCUCAUCUGGCCUGACCUCCCUCAUGAGAGUUGCUGUUCUACUAGCUGACUGAAAUUUGAUGUAUCCUCUCACCUCAACUUCCACAAGUCAAAACACGUCUGUGCUUUCUGGUCACCCACCUACCAAAGCAAUCCUCCAUUUGCUAAUGUGUGCCAAUGGUCGCUUGACUUCACCUGGGAUGCUGACUCCAACUCCAGCCUAAACAUCUAAAGUGAUUGCUUCCUUAACUCUUGAACUUCAGUCUCCUGGUCCUUUAACCUCUUGUGAGUUUCCUAGUAUCGAUACUAUGAAUAUUAUUAGUAAUAGUAGUAGUAGUAUC